This 707-nucleotide ribosomal RNA is filed under the name Salmonella enterica subsp. enterica serovar Typhimurium var. 5-. RNAcentral describes it as "bacterial LSU rRNA". It matches the Rfam family "Bacterial large subunit ribosomal RNA", at positions 503 to 1211 of the family's 2925-position model. The record is from RNAcentral. Lineage: Bacteria; Pseudomonadati; Pseudomonadota; Gammaproteobacteria; Enterobacterales; Enterobacteriaceae.
GUGAGGGAAAGGCGAAAAGAACCCCGGCGAGGGGAGUGAAAAAGAACCUGAAACCGUGUACGUACAAGCAGUGGGAGCACCCUUCGGGGUGUGACUGCGUACCUUUUGUAUAAUGGGUCAGCGACUUAUAUUCUGUAGCAAGGUUAACCGUAUAGGGGAGCCGGAGGGAAACCGAGUCUUAACCGGGCGUUAAGUUGCAGGGUAUAGACCCGAAACCCGGUGAUCUAGCCAUGGGCAGGUUGAAGGUUGGGUAACACUAACUGGAGGACCGAACCGACUAAUGUUGAAAAAUUAGCGGAUGACCUGUGGCUGGGGGUGAAAGGCCAAUCAAACCGGGAGAUAGCUGGUUCUCCCCGAAAGCUAUUUAGGUAGCGCCUCGUGAAUUCAUCUCCGGGGGUAGAGCACUGUUUCGGCUAGGGGGCCAUCCCGGCUUACCAACCCGAUGCAAACUGCGAAUACCGGAGAAUGUUAUCACGGGAGACACACGGCGGGUGCUAACGUCCGUCGUGAAGAGGGAAACAACCCAGACCGCCAGCUAAGGUCCCAAAGUCAUGGUUAAGUGGGAAACGAUGUGGGAAGGCCCAGACAGCCAGGAUGUUGGCUUAGAAGCAGCCAUCAUUUAAAGAAAGCGUAAUAGCUCACUGGUCGAGUCGGCCUGCGCGGAAGAUGUAACGGGGCUAAACCAUGCACCGAAGCUGCGGCAGCGA